Choloepus didactylus (southern two-toed sloth) is the source of this 1281-nucleotide long non-coding RNA. RefSeq lists it as uncharacterized. The record is from RefSeq and is a predicted model, not a curated record. Lineage: Eukaryota; Metazoa; Chordata; Mammalia; Pilosa; Megalonychidae. The transcript is spliced from 3 exons.
GGUCUUUGUCCCUGCUCAAUUACCCCUGAGACAAGUCAUUCAAGGCCCACCUGAAAACCCAAAACCCUUUAUGGUCUAUGUUCCUUUUUCCACCAGCGACCUGUACAAUUGGAAAAAUCAAAACCCCUCUUUCUCUCAAAACCCACAAGGACUAAUCUCUUUGUUAGAAUCCGUUUUCUUUACCCAUCAGCCCACAUGGGACAACUGUCAACAACUUCUGCAGACCCUUUUUACAUCAGAGGAGAGAGAAAGGAUCUGUGCCCACGGACGAAAAUUAGUCAUGGGGUCAGACGGUCUGCCGACCACGGAAGUAGACCACCUCGAGGCUGCUUUUCCCUUCUCCCGACCCCGGUUGGACCCUAACACUGACCAAGGUUGCAAAAGAGUCCUUACAGGCUUUACACUACAGCUCCAAAAACAUCCAUCACGUCGUCAGCACCCACCAUCCGAACCCUGACACCGCGGAAGAAGAAACCCCUCCUGCUGAACCUGGUGAUUUAAUGUGGAUCAGAAAAAGGAAUCCCUCCUCCCUCGAGGCACGCUGGGCUGGGCCUUAUCAGGUGACUCUAAGUACACUGACUGCCGUGAAAGUCACAAGUAAAAGAUUUUGGAUACAUCGCUCACAAAUUAAAAAGGCAGACUCCGACCAGAACGCAGAAUGGUCCAUACAAAAAACAUCAGAUCCCCUAAAACUUCGGCUGCAGCGACGUACGCCAUUAUGCUGACUCUAGUAACAAUGCUAGCCGCAGAGAACCCCCAUCAAGCCACUAAUUAUACGUGGCAGUUAACUCGCACCAUUUGAUGGAACAGUGGUCAGCCAGAUUAGCACCCCUGGCAGCCCUAAAUUUGUUUUUGACCUAUGUAAACUCUUUGGGAGACUCUGGAAUCUACCAGAAGCUGUAAAUACCUAUUUGAGAUGGGGAAAGGUAGAGCUUAGGGGCUUCGGUUGUGGUAAAUUAGAACUGGAACGAGGGCUAUGGCAUAGUCAACAUUACAUCUGUCUGCAAAGAAGUGCCUCGAAGUCUGGGGGAGAGGAUGAUUAUUUCUGUUAUAGUUGGGGCUGUGAAACCAUAGCCCCAUGGAAAAAUGUAGAUCAUUUAUUAAAGGUCACCAGGAAGAUAAGGCCAGAAGCUCCUAUUAAAAAUUGUGUGAUUGGGAACUGUAACCCUGUUACUGUUGAACCGCAGCAGCAUUGGGAAGAUUCCCAGUGGUUGGGGGAAAAACGUGGGGAUUGCGCCUAUAUGUGUCAGGAUAUGACCCCGGAGUGUUAGUCACUAUUCA